This 671-nucleotide ribosomal RNA is filed under the name Enterococcus faecalis. RNAcentral's name for it is "bacterial SSU rRNA". It matches the Rfam family "Bacterial small subunit ribosomal RNA", at positions 69 to 711 of the family's 1533-position model. Lineage: Bacteria; Bacillati; Bacillota; Bacilli; Lactobacillales; Enterococcaceae. The record is from RNAcentral.
CUUCUUUCCUCCCGAGUGCUUGCACUCAAUUGGAAAGAGGAGUGGCGGACGGGUGAGUAACACGUGGGUAACCUACCCAUCAGAGGGGGAUAACACUUGGAAACAGGUGCUAAUACCGCAUAACAGUUUAUGCCGCAUGGCAUAAGAGUGAAAGGCGCUUUCGGGUGUCGCUGAUGGAUGGACCCGCGGUGCAUUAGCUAGUUGGUGAGGUAACGGCUCACCAAGGCCACGAUGCAUAGCCGACCUGAGAGGGUGAUCGGCCACACUGGGACUGAGACACGGCCCAGACUCCUACGGGAGGCAGCAGUAGGGAAUCUUCGGCAAUGGACGAAAGUCUGACCGAGCAACGCCGCGUGAGUGAAGAAGGUUUUCGGAUCGUAAAACUCUGUUGUUAGAGAAGAACAAGGACGUUAGUAACUGAACGUCCCCUGACGGUAUCUAACCAGAAAGCCACGGCUAACUACGUGCCAGCAGCCGCGGUAAUACGUAGGUGGCAAGCGUUGUCCGGAUUUAUUGGGCGUAAAGCGAGCGCAGGCGGUUUCUUAAGUCUGAUGUGAAAGCCCCCGGCUCAACCGGGGAGGGUCAUUGGAAACUGGGAGACUUGAGUGCAGAAGAGGAGAGUGGAAUUCCAUGUGUAGCGGUGAAAUGCGUAGAUAUAUGGAGGAACACCA